GUAGUUGUAGGCGACAAUAUAAAUCUUAAUUGAAUCGCAAUACAGUUGAACUAAUAUGGUUUUAAGGAGUUAUCUGCGUCUGAUUCUUUUUAGUCCUGAAUCUAAUUUGAAUCUGUGUAGGCUAUGAGCCGCCUUUUUACCAGGAAGUUGUAUGGAGCCGACAACGGUUGAAAUGUGGCAUUUGCUCCACUGCUCUGGUCUUAUCCGGUGAGUGGAGUGUUUGGGUCAGGUCAGCCGCGUACUGUGUGGAGCUUCGUGUGCGCUUUAUCGACAAUAAAGUUACAUUUGACGCCUUCAUUAUUUCACCAACGAAGGUACCUGAUGGAAAAUAGCCGAUUGAAUAGAGACCUGAGGCCAUGUUUCAGAUGAUUCUACUGAGAUGGGCUUUUCCUCUAGGUGAUUCUGAUCUAGACGGGUCCUGUGGAAGUGAAGAAAGUGGUAGAGGAGGAGAAGCAGGAGACUUAUCAUUCUGACUCUAUUCUGGAUCUAUGGACUGUAGACAAACCCCAUUUGUCUUACGUCAGACAGUGCGACUCAUUCCACAUUUGUUUGAACUAACGUCGUACAGGAGGAGUUUUGCGUAGGAGUGACGCCACCUGUUGGACUCAGAAAAGAAGACAAUGGCCGUGUGUGUGUGUCAGUGGUGUCCGGCUGGCUCUGCUGUCGUCUAGGCUCUGAUGGCAGAUGUUCCCUCUGGACUACUGGAGGCUUGUGUGGUGGUUGGAGCAGUCAGCAGUACACUCAGGGAACUCUAUCAGUCACACCAGCAGGGUCAAAUCAAAGAGCUCCCCCUGUUGGAGACGGAGGUACUGCAGGUGCACGCCCCACCCUUUGUGACCAAAGAGAGUGUGAGUAGCGAGACCAAGGGUCAGGGUCACGCCCGGC
Molecule: long non-coding RNA, 885 nt
Organism: Oncorhynchus tshawytscha (Chinook salmon)
Lineage: Eukaryota; Metazoa; Chordata; Actinopteri; Salmoniformes; Salmonidae
Exons: 3
Source: RefSeq, a predicted model, not a curated record